This 486-nucleotide ribosomal RNA is filed under the name Dialister invisus. RNAcentral describes it as "bacterial SSU rRNA". It matches the Rfam family "Bacterial small subunit ribosomal RNA", at positions 28 to 480 of the family's 1533-position model. Lineage: Bacteria; Bacillati; Bacillota; Negativicutes; Veillonellales; Veillonellaceae. The record is from RNAcentral.
GACGAACGCUGGCGGCGUGCUUAACACAUGCAAGUCGAACGAAAAGAGGGAAAGAGCUUGCUCUUUCCGGAAUUGAGUGGCAAACGGGUGAGUAACACGUAAACAACCUGCCUUCAGGAUGGGGACAACAGACGGAAACGACUGCUAAUACCGAAUAAGUUCCAAGGGCCGCAUGGCCCAUGGAAGAAAAGGUGGCCUCUACCUGUAAGCUAUCGCCUGAAGAGGGGUUUGCGUCUGAUUAGCUGGUUGGAGGGGUAACGGCCCACCAAGGCGACGAUCAGUAGCCGGUCUGAGAGGAUGAACGGCCACACUGGAACUGAGACACGGUCCAGACUCCUACGGGAGGCAGCAGUGGGGAAUCUUCCGCAAUGGGCGAAAGCCUGACGGAGCAACGCCGCGUGAGUGAUGACGGCCUUCGGGUUGUAAAACUCUGUGAUCCGGGACGAAAAGGCAGAGUGCGAAGAACAAACUGCAUUGACGGUACCG